Non-coding RNA from Ictidomys tridecemlineatus (thirteen-lined ground squirrel), 762 nucleotides. NCBI's taxonomy places the organism in Eukaryota, Metazoa, Chordata, Mammalia, Rodentia, Sciuridae. The record is from RefSeq and is a predicted model, not a curated record.
GGAGGGGUGGCUACACCCUUGCAGGGAUCCACUACUUCCCAACUGCCAUGAAGUAAAGAGCUUGCUCCUCCACAUGCUCCCUGCUAUGUACCACACUCCUACAGAAGACUAGGAGGGAAUUAAAUUCAACUCACAUGGGCCAGUCGAUCAAAUCUGGCAAAGAGCUCGUUGAGCAUCCUGACCAGCUCCUGAGCGGACAAGGUCGUAGAGAGGAGGAACAGACGAGGAGCAGAGCCGCAUGGCUUGGAUUAAGGGCAUGCAAUCAUUGGCUCAUUUGUUACUCCUGAAAAUGACAUUUCCAGUGAAGUGAAACAGUUGCCAAGGGAAGGAGAGUGGUGGUGACAAGGAGCUUCGAUUGUCAGAAAUCCUUAAAGGAAAAUGGCAUGCCUGCCUUGCGGGAACACUACUCAUCUUAAAGGAUCAACUGCUUUGACAGAACUCCAGGAAAAGUCAAUUCCAAGGAGAAAAAGGAAUUUUUGUGAACAUUUCAUAUCUUCCCAGGAACUAGUUGAAAUAGCUUCCAGUGCCUGGAAGGAGGAGAGCAUCCUGUCAGUGGGAAAGUAAUUCCAAGACAAGGAAGGCAGAAAGUAAUUCCAGGCAAGGAAGGCAGAAGCCUUCGAGGGAGACAGACUUGAACAUUUUCUUCCUCUUAAAAGAUGAUCCCUUGGGCUGGGGAUGUGGCUCAAGCGGUAGCACGCUCGCCUGGCAUGCGUGCGGCCCAGGUUCGAUUCUCAGCACCACAUACAAAACAAAGAUGUUGUG